Molecule: non-coding RNA, 590 nt
Organism: Arachis ipaensis
Lineage: Eukaryota; Viridiplantae; Streptophyta; Magnoliopsida; Fabales; Fabaceae
Source: RefSeq, a predicted model, not a curated record
AUUUUAUUCAAUUCAUCCCUUCUCUUCUUUUUAAUUGUUCCUCAAUACCAUGUUGGUCUUUGAUUAUUAUCAAUCUCUAUCAGACACACAAUAAAGAAACGAAGCCCCCCUAUGCUGUGUUCAUGUUUCCAUUGUUCAAUGUUCACACCUCCAUUUACACAUCCUUAUCCUCUUCUAUAAAUUCCUUGCUUCAACUCCUCCCUCUUACACCUUCAACACUCUCUCUUCACUUUUCAUCUAUAUUGUCAAUUCUACCUUUACCUUCUCUCUAACAAACAUGAGAAAGGUCACAGCCCUGUUCUUCAUUAUCACUCUGUUCCUCUGCUUCAGCAUGCUCACCCAUGCUGCACGCCCUCAACCAUCCUUUCAACAUGUUCAAUCCUUCCCAAAAACACACCAUCUGGGUGGUGAUGAGGGCGCUGACGAUGUUAGCUGUGAAGGCAUAGGAGAAGAUGAAUGCUUGACAAGGAGAACACUUGCAGCUCACACUGAUUAUAUCUAUACACAGAAGAAUAACCCUUGAAGCAAAAUAUAACAACACUCUUUGUUUUAGUAGUUUAAAGAAUUAAGCAUGAUUACUUGUUUGGAAU